RNAcentral lists this unclassified non-coding RNA (501 nucleotides) under Proteus mirabilis. RNAcentral's name for it is "partial 16S-23S ribosomal RNA intergenic spacer". The stretch from base 253 to 356 matches the Rfam family "Salmonella enterica Typhi npcRNA 44". The record is from RNAcentral. Lineage: Bacteria; Pseudomonadati; Pseudomonadota; Gammaproteobacteria; Enterobacterales; Morganellaceae.
CCUAAGAGAUACGUGUUAUGUGCAGUGCUCACACAGAUUGUCUGAUGAAGAACGAGCAAAAGCGCGUCUGCGAAGCUGACAAAAGUCCCCUUCGUCUAGAGGCCUAGGACACCGCCCUUUCACGGCGGUAACAGGGGUUCGAAUCCCCUAGGGGACGCCAAUGCGCGGUAUGAGUGAAAGGCGUACCACUUAUCUGACGAGAGUCAGAGAAUAACUAAGCUAAUUCAAAUGAGUUAUCUUACUUAUUAUGCUCUUUAACAAUCUGGAACAAGCUGAAAAAUUGAAAACAAAUCAAUAUAUCAACGAGAUAUAUUGGUGAGUCUCUCAAAAUCUCAAAUCUGAAAAGUACUCUUCAGAAAGGAUAUGCGAGCAAAAUGAUUUCAAGGCGGACAGCGCACAGCAAGCGCAGCAUACUUAAAGUAUGUGAGCAUUGCGAGCACUGCCCAACACAGAAAUUAUGAAGCGCAGCAAUCCGUUUUAAAAGACACUUUCGGGUUGUGA